ACUGUGAAGUCACAAGAGGCCCUGAGCUCUGUGGGCCCCAGGUGCCCCGGGAAAACUUGGGGGAGAAUGGGCAUCCCACCCCAGCACUUUCUAGGAAGAAGGGCAGCAUUUUGAAGGGCUGGAAGUAGAGGAAGGAGGUUGCGGGUAGAAGACUCCAUACUUUCUGUGACGCCUAUUCCUUAGCUUGUGAUGAAUGUUUUCUCAGUAUCCUAUGCUGAAAACAGGUAGAUACUAAUAUCGAUCUUCAAGGGAGGGCUGUUGAGUAUUGAAUAAGACAAAAACAUGGAAGCAAUCAGCACCAUGCUGGAAUCAAGGCUAUCUGUAAUCACAGGGCUAUUUGAAAAAGAGAAGAAAAGGUGUCUUGAAAUUCAACCAACAUGUUUCAAUUAUUUGCUCCUAAGAACAACAGAAGUUUCAACAUUCUGCCAACAGAGUAACUCCUGGAAGAUUGGCACAGAAGAAGGCACAAGGAAGUCAGUGAUAAAAAUAUUUAAGCAGCUUUGUCUGCCUUAGACCUUCCAACUAAAAGUACAGCAAGUGGAAUGGAAUGCUAAUAUGAGGAUCCAAAUUUUCAGGGAAGGAGGAGAGCCUUUAUAUAACCAAAGAUAUUUUUGGACCAUGAAUUCAGAAAUUCUCGGAGCCACCCAUCAGUGCCUGAGCUUCAGUGAGUCCAUAUCCCAUGUCACCCACGGCAAAGGAGACUCUAAGACUUCUGAAGAGUUUCUUGCUUCUUUCCUGUGGGGCAGUGACUCCACUUCCCAGCAGUAAUGGAAUAUCCUGAAUUAGCUACAUUAAUGUUAGAACCAUUUGGACCUCACCCAGGACUUCAACUACAUUAUGGAUGUUAUAAGAAAUGAGACUCACUACUGAAUUCACAGCAGGCAUGGUUGAAGGCACCAUUCACUAUAGCUUGCAGUGUUCCCUUUAUGAGAUUUGUAUGAGAAAUUCCUCUCAUAGGUCAAGUUCUUGGGAGAAAAUUCUCCCAAAGAGCAAGUCCCAGGAAAAUCUUGGCUGAGUAACUCCUGGACGAUUGGCACAGAAGAAGGCACAAGGCAAAUACCCAUCUCUGUACACCCUGUGCUACUGUGUCAUGUGCUGCUCCAGGCAACUCCAAUGGAUUGGCCACCCUGGCCAAUGUGCCCUCCAAACACCAGCACUGAGUAGAAAGAGGCUCUGAUUCAUGAAAUGUGAAUUUAUGACAGUUGCCACUCUUAAAAAAAAAAACAAACAGACAGAACUUGAGCAAUACAUGACUGAUGCAUUCUCAGCCUGCUUCCUGUGUUCCAUCUGUCUUUCUGCCAGUGCAUUCACCCUCCAGGUUCUAGUAUGUUACGUUUAUGUUCCCCUGCUUUCUACAAUCCUGUUCAAAGAGUUGCUGACUUAACCACAGAGAGGAUUCCAGAACCUGAGACACAGAAUAAACUUGAGCAAUCAUAGUCCAUCCACUUCAUUGUCUCAUCAAAAACCAAAGGUCCAGUGAAGCUCUGGAACUCAACGCUGUAAAGGAGCGAAGGAGCUUCUAUACAGAGCCUGGAUGCCUGUCUCCUUAUCCUACUUCAGUGGACUUGACUGCAAUCCGGAUUAUGCUGUUUUCUAAGCAUUUAAAAUAAAAUAAAAAGUAUAAUAGUGUGAUAAGUUCUUUCACAAAGCAAGCAAUCACAUUUAUGUUUCUACUUACAUUUGGGUUUUCCAAAUAUGUGUGUGUGUGUGUGUGUGUGUGUGUGUGUGUGUAUGUAGACUUUAAACAUGGUGCAUCCAUCAUGUUGCACUAAAUCAAAACCACCAAAUAAUGAUGUAGAACUAAUAAAUCAAAACCAUCAAAUAAUGACAUAGAAAUCCAAUUCUCCCACCUUACACCCAUUAAGAUGGCUACU
This 1874-nucleotide long non-coding RNA is filed under the name Homo sapiens (human). RNAcentral describes it as "PREDICTED lncRNA (TCONS_00067684)". The record is from RNAcentral. Lineage: Eukaryota; Metazoa; Chordata; Mammalia; Primates; Hominidae.